RNAcentral lists this unclassified non-coding RNA (557 nucleotides) under Hevea brasiliensis (rubber tree). Lineage: Eukaryota; Viridiplantae; Streptophyta; Magnoliopsida; Malpighiales; Euphorbiaceae. The record is from RNAcentral.
CGCAUCGAUGGCACCUUCAGCUUCUUCACUUGGAUCAACUCCAAGCUCUCAUAAAAGGAACGCAAAAAUAGAUCCUGGCCUUUUCCACGUGAAACACUGUUAAUUAUGGCAAAGAGUAAAUCUUCAUCUCGUACUCCAAGAGACUCCCGAAUAUGUUCACGCAAAACCCUUUUUGCCACACCAUCUUCAGCAACCUCCAUAAGUUCUUUGCUAUUUCCAAGGUGAACAACAUAGGUCUCAGGCAUUUUAAUCCUCAAACGUUCUUGAGUCCUAUUUUUCCAAUAUUGUGCUGUCACAUGUGAAUCAAUCAUAGCACCAGCAACCAAAGGCAAGUGCUUGACAUAGUCCAAUUUAAAAUAAUGUCCUCGCAUUUCAUGAAUCCACCACAACACUUUUGAGAGAACAUGAGGAAUGUUUUCCUUCAGAACAGCAUCUAGCCAUUUCCCAGCAACAGCCGUAUUCAAAACAACCAUAUCGGCUUUAAGAGCAGUACCUAUAGCUUCUUGGCCUUUUGCAGACAAGACCUGCACUCCUCGGACUAGCAUCUUUUGCUCUAA